Molecule: transfer RNA, 76 nt
Filed under: Bacteroidetes bacterium ADurb.Bin145
Lineage: Bacteria; Pseudomonadati; Bacteroidota
Description: tRNA-Val
Rfam family: tRNA
About the family: Transfer RNA (tRNA) molecules are approximately 80 nucleotides in length. Their secondary structure includes four short double-helical elements and three loops (D, anti-codon, and T loops).
Source: RNAcentral
GGGCGAUUAGCUCAGUUGGUUCAGAGCAUAUGCCUUACAAGCAUAGGGUCGGGGGUUCGACUCCCUCAUCGCCCAC